GGCAGACGGGUGAGUAAUGUAUAGGAAUCUACCUAGUAGUACGGAAUAAUUGUUGGAAACGACAACUAAUACCGUAUACGCCCUACGGGGGAAAAAUUUAUUGCUAUUAGAUGAGCCUAUAUUAGAUUAGCUAGUUGGUGGGGUAAUAGCCUACCAAGGUAAUGAUCUAUAGCUGAUCUGAGAGGAUGAUCAGCCACACUGGAACUGAGAUACGGUCCAGACUCCUACGGGAGGCAGCAGUGGGGAAUAUUGGACAAUGGGCGAAAGCCUGAUCCAGCCAUGCCGCAUGAGUGAAGAAGGCCUUUGGGUUGUAAAGCUCUUUUAGUGAGGAAGAUAAUGACGGUACUCACAGAAGAAGUCCUGGCUAACUCCGUGCCAGCAGCCGCGGUAAUACGGAGAGGGCUAGCGUUAUUCGGAAUUAUUGGGCGUAAAGGGCGCGUAGGCUGGUUAAUAAGUUAAAAGUGAAAUCCCGAGGCUUAACCUUGGAAUUGCUUUUAAAACUAUUAAUCUAGAGAUUGAAAGAGGAUAGGGGAAUUCCUGAUGUAGAGGUAAAAUUCGUAAAUAUUAGGAGGAACACCAGUGGCGAAGGCGUCUAUCUGGUUCAAAUCUGACGCUGAAGCGCGAAGGCGUGGGGAGCAAACAGGAUUAGAUACCCUGGUAGUCCACGCUGUAAACGAUGAAUGUUAAAUAUGGGGAGUUUACUUUCUGUAUUACAGCUAACGCGUUAAACAUUCCGCCUGGGGACUACGGUCGCAAGAUUAAAACUCAAAGGAAUUGACGGGGACCCGCACAAGCGGUGGAGCAUGUGGUUUAAUUCGAUGCAACGCGAAAAACCUUACUCAUUCUUGAC
This 850-nucleotide ribosomal RNA is filed under the name Wolbachia pipientis. Its description in RNAcentral is "bacterial SSU rRNA". It matches the Rfam family "Bacterial small subunit ribosomal RNA", at positions 97 to 985 of the family's 1533-position model. The record is from RNAcentral. Lineage: Bacteria; Pseudomonadati; Pseudomonadota; Alphaproteobacteria; Rickettsiales; Anaplasmataceae.